GAUGAACGCUAGCUACAGGCUUAACACAUGCAAGUCGAGGGGCAGCAUGGUCUUAGCUUGCUAAGGCCGAUGGCGACCGGCGCACGGGUGAGUAACACGUAUCCAACCUGCCGUCUACUCUUGGACAGCCUUCUGAAAGGAAGAUUAAUACAAGAUGGCAUCAUGAGUUCACAUGUUCACAUGAUUAAAGGUAUUCCGGUAGACGAUGGGGAUGCGUUCCAUUAGAUAGUAGGCGGGGUAACGGCCCACCUAGUCUUCGAUGGAUAGGGGUUCUGAGAGGAAGGUCCCCCACAUUGGAACUGAGACACGGUCCAAACUCCUACGGGAGGCAGCAGUGAGGAAUAUUGGUCAAUGGGCGAGAGCCUGAACCAGCCAAGUAGCGUGAAGGAUGACUGCCCUAUGGAUUGUAAACUUCUUUUAUAAAGGAAUAAAGUCGGGUAUGUAUACCCGUUUGCAUGUACUUUAUGAAUAAGGAUCGGCUAACUCCGUG
RNAcentral lists this ribosomal RNA (490 nucleotides) under uncultured bacterium. RNAcentral describes it as "partial 16S ribosomal RNA". It matches the Rfam family "Bacterial small subunit ribosomal RNA", at positions 28 to 507 of the family's 1533-position model. The record is from RNAcentral.